RNAcentral lists this transfer RNA (73 nucleotides) under Chryseobacterium sp. RNAcentral describes it as "tRNA-Ala". It matches the Rfam family "tRNA". From Rfam's summary of the family: Transfer RNA (tRNA) molecules are approximately 80 nucleotides in length. Their secondary structure includes four short double-helical elements and three loops (D, anti-codon, and T loops). The record is from RNAcentral. Lineage: Bacteria; Pseudomonadati; Bacteroidota; Flavobacteriia; Flavobacteriales; Weeksellaceae.
GGAAAUUGGCGAAGUUGGCCAACACGUUUGACUGGCAGUCAAAAGGUGACGGGUUCGAAUCCCGUAUUCUCCA